AGACUUUGCCCCAGUUCCUACAGGAAAAGGAGCCUGAAGCCAGCCGGGAACUCCGGGAAGGGUGGUUAGGCAGCAGAACCUGGCAGAAGUCAUCUACCAAGAAAGAGAACAAAUGGAGGAGCUCUGGGCUCACACCAGCCAGGAUUACCAAGGUCUGCUGGACCGGGGAUGGAGCAGAGGAGAACUAUGAAGCUGGGCUCUGGCCAAGGGAUUGAAUCCAGGGCCUCAUUCAUGCUACGCAAGCACUUGAAGACUGACCUACAUCCCCAUCCCGUGUCCAGUGACUCUUACAGCCACCUCUGCCGCCAUGUCUUCCCGCCAUGACGAACUCCUACGCCUUUGGAACCAUAAGCUAAAUAAACGCUUCCUUCUAUAAACUGCUUUGGUUCACAUCUCUUUGCAUUGUGUGUGUUAUGUCUGCACCACCCAACUGAUGCGGAGAAGACAACGGUGCAGGAAGGAGCUGAGGGACCCGUGGGUGAGGACACAACCUUCAAACAGCCCACCCUGGGCUUCAACAUAAGGAAGUCUCUCACUCUCCUCACAAAACCCAGGGCCCAGGGCCUGCUCUAAGAGCAUCCCUUCAGGUUAUGGACCCGCCUUGGAUCACUUGGUAAGGAACAGUCCCCAUAAGCCAAAGCCCCCAAGGGAAACAGACCUCUUCUGAAGCCAGGUGUGAUAAUACACAUCUUUGCCAGGACUCAGGAUGCUGAGGCAGGAGGAUUGCAAGUUGAAUGCCAGUCUGAGCUACACAAGGAGACUUUAUCCACCUGUAAUAACUGGGCUCUCACCAACAUUCUGUGAGAGAGAGUCCCUUGCUUUGAAAAGCUGAAUCACACCCACUUGAGGUGUCAGGCUUAGCCAAGCAUGUUUGAGCUACUGAGUGUCAGGGGUGGAUUUUACAUCAGGAAUCAAAAGUAGCAUCUGGGGAAAUCAAGAAUCCCAACAGAUGAGUCCCUGGAAUUGAGGGAGAGGGUGGUGAUGUGUGACAGUGGAUUGGAGGUGGGAAUCUGAAUGAGGUGUCCACUCUGAGGGGGUUUCCUGGGAACUGCAAAGGAGAGUGUGGACCAGGAGGUGGGGCUGGACUUGGAUAACCUCAGCAGAGGAAGGAAUGAGAGCUCUGAUGUCAGCAAAUCUGACUGGAAUCCUAGCUCUGACCAGGAGCAUGUAUGCUUGAUUUCUCUGGGCCUUUUUUCAUUGAUUCUAGAAUGGGGAUAAGUCUCCUCUCAUGUGGGCUGGGGAUGUAGCUCACUGUUAGAGCACUUGCCCAGCAUUCAUAAGGCCCAGGGUUCAAUCCCUCAUUGUUAAAAAAAAAAAAGAAAUCCCCUCUCAUACGGUGGUUGUGGUGGCGAGAUGAGAUAGCUCACAUCUAGUUGCUACAGGGAUGUGGUUCCGGGAAAGUCUGGCACUGGCCAAUGAAUGCAAAGGACUGACCAUUUCUUAAACACAGGUUCCUUCAACCGCUUCCCUCUGACUGUUCCAUCCUCAGUAGGGCUGCUGGUGGGACUGAGCUGGGAGAGGGUACCUAUUGCUUGGAGCCUUGGUAACUCAGCAACCUCCAGAUCUCAGCUGCAUUUUAGUCUGAAGAGGCCGCCGCUCUGAAAACAGCCUGGCAUCCACCCAACCAACAUCUCAGCUCCCCAGUCCGCUUUCAGCCCAGGGGCCAUUAAGGCUGGCUGGAGCCUCUGCACGAAUGGAGGACGCUCUCAGCACACUCAGCGCCUGUCCUCCAGGAGCACAGGCAAAGCUGGCGUCAAAAGCAUCGUCCUCCAGUCCUCCCAGGCUGCAGCUGCGGCUGCCUAGUGGAUGGGUGGUGUUGGACAAACCUGGCUUCUCGCCCUCUCCCCGACCUCUGUCCUUUCCUGCUCUCUCACUGCCUUGGGUAUCUUUUCUGUGCUGCCCCGACGCGCGCACGCUCACAUAGGAACAUGCACCUGUCUUCAUCCCCUCCCCUCUCUGACCCUCUUCUCCAUCCUCUGCUGACUUGUCCCUUCACCACCUUAGUAUUUUCCUUUUGUCUUUUUCUUGUUUUUGUGCAUUUCCCCAUCUUUAAAAUUCUUUGAAAAACACCUCUUUUCAUGGAUAUGAAAAGUCACCCUAAAGGUGUUUCUCAAUUUUCUGGACAUUUCUCUGUUGGACAGUCAUGUCGUUUCCAAUCUUUUCAGUGUGGCAAUGUUGUAACUACUAUAAAGGAGAAUGUGUAGACCCUGGAGAGAUUUCAUAUGAAGCCAGUGAUCACAGAGCAUGAACUCUGGAAUUUUCGCUCCACUGACUAGGUCUCAAAUCAAGAAACAGGUGUCAAAACAGUGAAGACGGUCUAGCACAGGGCAGUGCUCCACUCACCGGUCACGUCUUUCCACUUGUGGUCCCCGGGUUGGAGGACCACCUGCCUAGGCGUGGCACCGUCCACAGGGGCUGGGCCCUCCUACAUCACUCAAAAAUCAAGAAAAUGCCCCACAGGCCAGUCCAACGGAGGAAAUUCCUCCACUGAGGCUCCUUCUACCCAGGUGUGUCAAGUUGACAACUGACUAUCCAGCCCAGGAAGCAUGAACAAACAUUUAUGCACCUCACACAGGAUGCCAAUGACAGACUGUUAGUCUGAUUUCUGUUGCUAAUAAACACCAUGGCCAAAAGCAGCUCGAGGGAGGAAGGGGUUCAUUUCUGCUCACAGCUCACAGCCCAACAUCAAGGG
Molecule: long non-coding RNA, 2692 nt
Organism: Nannospalax galili (Upper Galilee mountains blind mole rat)
Lineage: Eukaryota; Metazoa; Chordata; Mammalia; Rodentia; Spalacidae
Exons: 7
Source: RefSeq, a predicted model, not a curated record